RNAcentral lists this ribosomal RNA (131 nucleotides) under uncultured bacterium. RNAcentral's name for it is "partial 16S ribosomal RNA". It matches the Rfam family "Bacterial small subunit ribosomal RNA", at positions 366 to 511 of the family's 1533-position model. The record is from RNAcentral.
AUUCACUAGUGAUUCCUGACGCAGCGACGUCGCGUGGGGGAUGAAGGCCUUCGGGUUGUAAACCUCUUUCAGCAGGGACGAAGCGUGAGUGACGGUACCUGCAGAAGAAGCGCCGGCUAACUACGUGCCAG